Molecule: long non-coding RNA, 2614 nt
Organism: Phacochoerus africanus (Common warthog)
Lineage: Eukaryota; Metazoa; Chordata; Mammalia; Artiodactyla; Suidae
Exons: 4
Source: RefSeq, a predicted model, not a curated record
CGGAAUCACUUCCGGGUGGAGCCGGGGCUCAGGGCUCGCGAGAAAGCGUAAAGUCCGCGGCGUGCGUCCUAGAAACGCAGCCGGCAGGCGGCCGGCCUGCGCCGCGGGAAACACACCCCCUUAACGCCAUAGUUCCGGGAUCUUCCUUCAGGACGGGAGCGAAUGGCUCACCGCCCCCAAGUGUCUAGGCACAGAGCCCCCAACCCCUUGUUACAGAAGGCCCCGUGCUGCUAGCCUCUUUGUGAGAAUGCUGGAUUCCACUUCACUGCUUAGAGAAGAUACUCCAGACUAGUCAUGCCAUUGUGAGAAGUACACUAGUAGAUUACUUUCUAAACUCCGAAAGCUACCUUUCCAGUGUGGCUGUCUUGAACUUUUCCAAGUUCAGUUGCUGCUGAAGCUCUUCUGUUCUCCCCAGGGAGGGACAAAGAACUCGACUUCUGGUCAGAGCUGCCGCAGAAGGUCUCGCCACUGGAUCAGGGUCGAUCAUGUCCUGAUGAGGCUACCUGAACUUGAGACACAUCAACUUCACCCACUUCUCAAGCACUGAUGAUAUCCAAAUGCCGCUCUCCAGCAUCGCUGAACCAUGUAUCCAAGGAUUUAUACCACAUCUCUUUCUACAAACCUGUGCCUCCCGCAGUGGCAGCUACCUGGAUCCAAGAUUUCUGCAACAGGAAAGUCAGGUGCCCGGGAGGAAGAUGCCCAAGGAGGAAAGUCGGCUUUGCAUCUCAGACCUGAGUUCCCCACGCUGUGUGCUUAGGGAAGUUCUCUUUCUGCAGACACUGCCGAGUGAUGAGAAAGCUUCCAGAAUCAGAGCUCCAUGGUGACCAAAGCGCAGUUCUGAGGCCUUGAAACACAGGUGGGAAGGACAGGAGCAGGAAAAUCCAGCUAAUUCAAAUUGAGUUUGCAAGAGGUAGAAACCUGUAUUUACCUCCGAGGUAGACUGUUUCUUUGCAGAAGUAAAAGUUAAGGCUGUGGAAAAUGAGGUAUUUGUUUGAGACUCUGUUGUUCCUAGGAGGGACCUGCUAGUCUGAUUGUCUCCUCAGUCAGGAGGGAAAAAAACAUUAAAAAUGCUUGAACAAACCAAAGUGAAGUUCUACAUAGUAUUUAUUGAAGACUGAAUUACGAUCGAGUCAUUCUAGACUGAAAAAAAUACCAGUGUUGGAUUAUGGUAUAUUUGAUGGGACCACCCUAUUGGGAACCCUCAGGAGGUCCGGUUUCCCAUAAGAAAUGGACUUUUUUACUGCCAGGCUUUCUGGGAAGCUGGCAGACUCCAGGAAGGGAAGUGGAGGCUUGAAGCUGGCAGAGGCCGAAGGCAACUCUCUGGGCCUCAGGCUGUUGGGCCUGGGCUCUGAAGACUGGGGAGAACGCGAGGGAACGUGAGGGUGAUGGAGAAGGGAAGUUGGCACGUGCCCAGGAUGUGCGUGUAGAGCAUGCGGGCACCAGGACAUCAGUCAGGGUCCUCGGACAAGGGCCCAUGGGCCUCGUCGACAUACGAAGGAACAUCUCCAGCUCACUGGGGACCAGGCAGUGCUACCUCUAAGGUCCCUCCCGCUUCCUGGCCCUUAUCUUGCCCAAUCUCGCAUCACAACCAGAAGCGUUGCGUCAACCCCUCGGGGGAAGGUUUGCAACAUCUUAGAGAAAAGCAGAACAUGUUCACCGCUGACGUGCAUGGGUCAGCUUCCCGAACGGGUCCUUCAGCAGCCUGGACUGGGAGCAGGUGCAGAUGGGUGUGGCCGCCCUGGGCGUGGACCCAUCCCAGCAGGGGUCUCAAGUGCUCCUGACUCCCAGCAGCUUUCUUUCCAUGAGGACAGCUGUCAGCACACUGUGGUGCCAGGAGAGAGAGGGACCUUCUCUUGGUCUCGUCCCACCACCAAGAGAGAGCACACAGAAGCCGCACCUGUCAGUGGUGAAUCUAGUGAGAAUCACGUCAAUCAUUUACAAGAAUCCCGAACAGCACUUGAUCUUUGGCUACCCUGUUUCUCAUUUCAGUGUGCUUUCACACCUGUAAGUGAGUAGCAGUCCCAGCGGAAGAGUCCAAGGAAAGAUCAUGGACCAGGUAGAAUAAAGCUGGAGGUCAUUUGAAAGCCUACGAGUCUAUCGUGAAUACUUUUCUUCUUGUCAUUUUGCUUUUUCUUUUAUUUAUUUUUUUAAGGCCACACCCACAGCAUAUGGAAGUUCCCGGAGCCCGGGAUUCAGUUUGAGCCACAACUUCGGCAACACAGGAUCGUUUAACCCAUUGCACAGUAGGCCAGGGAAUCAAACCCACACCUCCGCGGUGAGUCAAGAUGCUGUAGUCAGAUUCUUAACCACAGCGGGAUCUCCUCGUUUUGCUUUUUCUUGUGGAAAUGUUCCGACACCAAGAGAAAAUAUAGUGUAAUGAGUCCCGAUGUACCAGGAACCUAGCCUUGAAAAUUGGGAGCAGUUUUGCAGUCUUGUUUCAUUCAUAUCUGCAGCUUUGUUGGAGGCGGCUGCUGGAAUAUUUUAGAGCAGGUCACCGAUGAUAUGUCCUUUCCCCCAUGAAUACUUUGGUGCCAUUGGGGAAAAUCCUUAGAUUAAGCUACUAAUUUGAAAUCUGCUAUAAAUCUAUGUAAUCAAUAAAUCAGAUUCUAAUGAA